This is a long non-coding RNA of Centruroides sculpturatus (bark scorpion), 306 nucleotides long. RefSeq lists it as uncharacterized. Lineage: Eukaryota; Metazoa; Arthropoda; Arachnida; Scorpiones; Buthidae. The transcript is spliced from 3 exons. The record is from RefSeq and is a predicted model, not a curated record.
GUUCGAAAUACGUCACACGUGACGAAUCGCAGUUCGAUUGCGUUUCUAGUCGGACGUGCUUUUGUUGUGCUCUUCGAUUGCGUGCUGUUUUUUGCGGUUUGAGGACUUUUGCAGAAAAGAUUAAAGAUUUUUCAGAAUCGGUCCCAGAAGACAUCGCGACACAUCAUUCGAUGAUCGACCGUUUGCGCUUUGGAUUCGAAUCUUUAGAUUUAGAAAGGCAGCUGCGAAUGAAGACGUUGGUGCGGUGUUGGAGGCGGUUCCGGCGGAGGCAGGCGGUGGCGCCGGAGGGAGGGGGUUCCUCGGACG